Molecule: ribosomal RNA, 1323 nt
Filed under: unidentified marine bacterioplankton
Lineage: Bacteria
Description: bacterial SSU rRNA
Rfam family: Bacterial small subunit ribosomal RNA
Source: RNAcentral
UUAGAGUUUGAUCAUGGCUCAGAACGUACGCUGGCGGCACGCCUAACACAUGCAAGUCGAACGAAGUAGCAAUACUUAGUGGCAGACGGGUGAGUAACAUGUAGGUAUCUACCCUUUGGCCUGGAAUAACACGAGGAAACUUGUGCUAAUACUGGAUAAGUCUUUACGGAGAAAGCUUUAUGCACCAUUGGAUGAGCCCGCACUUGAUUAGUUUGUUGGUGGGGUAAUGGCCUACCAAGACUUUGAUCAAUAGCUGAUUUGAGAGGAUGAUCAGCCACAUUGGGACUGAGACACGGCCCAAACUCCUACGGGAGGCAGCAGUGGGGAAUCUUGCACAAUGGAGGAAACUCUGAUGCAGCGAUGCCGCGUGAGUGAAGAAGGCCCUUGGGUUGUAAGGCUCUUUCGUCGGGGAAGAAAAUGACUGUACCCGAAUAAGAAGGUCCGGCUAACUUCGUGCCAGCAGCCGCGGUAAUACGAAGGGACCUAGCGUAGUUCGGAAUUACUGGGCUUAAAGAGUUCGUAGGUGGUUGAAAAAGUUGGUGGUGAAAUCCCAGAGCUUAACUCUGGAACUGCCAUCAAAACUUUUCAGCUAGAGUUUGAUAGAGGAAAGCAGAAUUUCUAGUGUAGAGGUGAAAUUCGUAGAUAUUAGAAAGAAUACCAAUUGCGAAGGCAGCUUUCUGGAUCAUUACUGACACUGAGGAACGAAAGCAUGGGUAGCGAAGAGGAUUAGAUACCCUCGUAGUCCAUGCCGUAAACGAUGUGUGUUAGACGUUGGAAAUUUAUUUUCAGUGUCGCAGCGAAAGCGAUAAACACACCGCCUGGGGAGUACGACCGCAAGGUUAAAACUCAAAUGAAUUGACGGGGACCCGCACAAGUAGUGGAGCAUGUGGUUUAAUUCGAAGAUACGCGCAGAACCUUACCAACACUUGACAUGUUCGUCGCGACUUUAAGAGAUUAAAGUUUUCGGUUCGGCCGGACGAAACACAGGUGCUGCAUGGCUGUCGUCAGCUCGUGUCGUGAGAUGUUGGGUUAAGUCCCGCAACGAGCGCAACCCUCACUUUUAGUUGCCAUCAUUUAGUUGGGCACUCUGAAAGAACUGCCAGUGAUAAGCUGGAGGAAGGUGGGGAUGACGUCAAGUCCUCAUGGCCCUUACGUGUUGGGCUACACACGUGCUACAAUGGUAUCUACAACAGGAAGCGAAACAGCGAUGUUAAGCAAAUCCUUAAAAGAUACCUCAGUUCGGAUUGCACUCUGCAACUCGAGUGCAUGAAGCUGGAAUUACUAGUAAUCGUGGAUCAGCGUGCCACGGUGAAUACGUUCCCG